UUGAACGCUGGCGGCAUGCCUUACACAUGCACGUCGAACGGCAGCACGGGUGCUUGCACCUGGUGGCGAGUGGCGAACGGGUGAGUAAUACAUCGGAACAUGUCCUGUAGUGGGGGAUAGCCCGGCGAAAGCCGGAUUAAUACCGCAUACGAUCUACGGAUGAAAGCGGGGGACCUUCGGGCCUCGCGCUAUAGGGUUGGCCGAUGGCUGAUUAGCUAGUUGGUGGGGUAAAGGCCUACCAAGGCGACGAUCAGUAGCUGGUCUGAGAGGACGACCAGCCACACUGGGACUGAGACACGGCCCAGACUCCUACGGGAGGCAGCAGUGGGGAAUUUUGGACAAUGGGCGAAAGCCUGAUCCAGCAAUGCCGCGUGUGUGAAGAAGGCCUUCGGGUUGUAAAGCACUUUUGUCCGGAAAGAAAUCCUUGGCCCUAAUACGGUCGGGGGAUGACGGUACCGGAAGAAUAAGCACCGGCUAACUACGUG
This 485-nucleotide ribosomal RNA is filed under the name uncultured bacterium. RNAcentral's name for it is "partial 16S ribosomal RNA". It matches the Rfam family "Bacterial small subunit ribosomal RNA", at positions 30 to 507 of the family's 1533-position model. The record is from RNAcentral.